GCGCAGUGGCAGGGCAGGGCAGGGCAGAGGAGGGACAGAACAGCCGCACCCAGCCAUCGCCGAGUGCAGAGCAGGCCAGCUUGGGGGGAGGGCCAGGCACAGUGCGGGUAAAGAAGGUGCCGGCGUCCGGUCUGGCAAGAGGGCGGGCUGGAGUGCGGGGGGAUGGGUGCGCCUUGCUCACGCUCCCAGGGUGGGAUGACCGAAGUGCAGGCGCCCAGGUUGUAAAGUGAGGCCCCCAACCCCGCAUCUAUGCUGGCAGUGGCCCGGAAACUACCGAUCCGGUUUAUUAAUAGCCGUCGGGGAAGAGGGACCCGCAGCAGCAGCAACUCCAUCCCGAGACUCUUACCCUUUGCCAGGGAUGAAGAGCGACCCACCAUCGGAUCUGCACAUUUUUCCAAGAGAUCAGAUGUGACAGUGCGGUGAAGCAGCCAAAUUCCUGACUUUUGUCCAAGUCCCGCUACUCAGAGAUCCCAGGCCCCAGGCCGUGUGGCCUUUUGGCUGCCAAAGGGCCAGGAGAGAGUGACAGUAGCAAACCAUCUUUCUAAUUGUCUUUUGAAUGAAACUGUGACUUGAUGCGACAAGGGCUGGACAGGAGUCAGUGACUUCUGGAGACAGAGCUCAGCCUGGGGAGCCCCCUUCCCAGGGCUUAUUAGCUCUGCCAGAUCAUAGCCCUUGUUUUCUUAUCUAGAAAAACUGGAAUCAUGUUACCUGCUCAACCUAUCAGGGGCUUUGGGAGAAUCAAUGGAAAGGAAAAUAUAGAGCAAAAAAGCAUUAUAUAAAUUUCAAGUAUUAAAAUAAUCUCACCCCCCUCUUUACACACGUGGAGACUUGCAAACUCUUCCGGCCCCAGUUUCCUUAUCAAUAAAAUGGAGCUUCUCCCAUGGGCUGUGCCAGACUUGGGGUGAAUAAGAUAAUAGAUGUACAAAUUAUUAUGUAAAUACAAAGUACUUUACAAAGAUGAAAUUGUACUUUAUGUAGGAUCUUAUCAUGGUCUAAAGGUGUUUAUGUGAAGAGUCAGAAACCUUAAAAUGUGGAAAUGGUCUAUGAUGAUCCACAGACCCUUCCCCC
Balaenoptera musculus (blue whale) is the source of this 1068-nucleotide long non-coding RNA. RefSeq lists it as uncharacterized. NCBI's taxonomy places the organism in Eukaryota, Metazoa, Chordata, Mammalia, Artiodactyla, Balaenopteridae. The transcript has 3 exons. The record is from RefSeq and is a predicted model, not a curated record.